AUGGCUCGGGGGCAAUGGUGGACCGACAGAGAAGGUGGCUCGGGCAGGGCGACAUUGAAUCGUCCGCAACCAGUGUCAGAGCGUCUUAUCGGAGGGUGGGUUGGGGGAAACGGUGAACCAAUGGAGAAGGCAGCUUGUGUAGGGAGGUGCACGACAUUGGCACUAGCCGUGACCAGUGUCCGUGGGUACGGGAAGAGGAAGAAGAGGUGGGGACAGAAAGAGGAAGAAGACGACGAUGAGCACAUAAUUUUACCAUCGAAAAAAACAGGCGACUGGUGCAUAUUUGCUCUCAUGAUUGAGUUAAGAGUUCUGAAUGGCAUUCAAGGACCAGAUUAUGGACUAACUUCUCAUGGUAAUCAUCGCAUCUUCCUUUUAGGGACCACUUUCUCAUGGCAAGUGACCAAUUUUGCCAUGGCCGAGCAAGAAUUUAUCGUGACAUGCAUGCAUGCUAGCGUCAGAUUGAUGGUUGAGACGAAAACCAGCGAACAAAAAAUCGGACGACGCCCGAGCUCCCUCCGCCCGCGGGUCGCCCGCUCCCUCGCGCCCCUGUUGCUCCCUCCUCGAUCCCGAUCUGGAUCGAGGGGACGAGGAGCUCCUGCCUCCCCGACGGCCGACCUCCUCCUCGCCCCGCCGAUGCGUCCGGCGCCGCCACGGCCUCUGGAGCCAGGGAAGCCAUGGCCUGAUCUCGGCCUCGAGGUCCCCGCCGCCGUCUCCUGCAGCUUCUGCCCCGCCGCCUCACCGCCCGAGCUCGCCGUCGCACCAACCUCGGCGCCGCGCCGCCGCCGGCUCUGGUCGCCUCCACCUCCGCGCCGUGAGGAACCCGCCACACGCGUCAAGGCGAGGCGCCUCCUGGGCUCCGUCCGGUUAAUUUGGAUCCGUCCAUGUCGCCGCGCCCGCCCAAACCGCAGGCCACACUUCCUCUUCCACCUCCGCGUACUCCUGGUUGCAGCCCCAGCUCUUCACGGGCAGGGAGAGAAGGGGGGCAUGAUCGGCGGGGCAGAGUUCUUUCGGAAGGACAGCGUGGUGGGCAACAUGGACGGAUACCUCAGCUACCUGUCCCUCGAGUAUGACUUCGUCUCGGACACCAAUCCUGCUUGGGUAUCUUCAUUUUGGAAGCAGGAAUCCUUUCCUCAUAAGAUGGAUGAGCUGUAG
This 1152-nucleotide ribosomal RNA is filed under the name Triticum aestivum (bread wheat). RNAcentral describes it as "partial small subunit ribosomal RNA". The record is from RNAcentral. Lineage: Eukaryota; Viridiplantae; Streptophyta; Magnoliopsida; Poales; Poaceae.